Molecule: unclassified non-coding RNA, 53 nt
Filed under: Homo sapiens (human)
Lineage: Eukaryota; Metazoa; Chordata; Mammalia; Primates; Hominidae
Description: calcineurin binding protein 1 (ENSG00000281670.1)
Source: RNAcentral
AGCCGGACGGCGCGGUGGUCGGGACAGACUGGCCGUUGCUGUGGAGACGCCUG